AUUGAACGCUGGCGGCAGGCUUAACACAUGCAAGUCGAACGAGCGGCGGACGGGUGAGUAAUGUCUGGGAAACUGCCUGAUGGAGGGGGAUAACUACUGGAAACGGUCGCUAAUACCGCAUACCAUCGGAUGUGCCCAGAUGGGAUUAGCUAGUAGGUGGGGUAAUGGCUCACCUAGGCGACGAUCCCUAGCUGGUCUGAGAGGAUGACCAGCCACACUGGAACUGAGACACGGUCCAUACUCCUACGGGAGGCAGCAGUGGGGAAUAUUGAACAAUGGGGGCAAGCCUGAUGCAGCCAUGCCGCGUGUGUGAAGAAGGCCUUCGGGUUGUAAAGUACUUUCAGCGAGGAGGCGUUAAUCGCAGAAGAAGCACCGGCUAACUCCGUGCCAGCAGCCGCGGUAAUAG
This 406-nucleotide ribosomal RNA is filed under the name uncultured bacterium. Its description in RNAcentral is "partial 16S ribosomal RNA". It matches the Rfam family "Bacterial small subunit ribosomal RNA", at positions 30 to 526 of the family's 1533-position model. The record is from RNAcentral.